Lolium perenne is the source of this 740-nucleotide non-coding RNA. NCBI's taxonomy places the organism in Eukaryota, Viridiplantae, Streptophyta, Magnoliopsida, Poales, Poaceae. The record is from RefSeq and is a predicted model, not a curated record.
AGGAGGCAGCCAACCCACCCCCUCUCCCUCUAUAUAAAGGGGCUUGGCAGCCCACUCCCUCCUCACUUGCUCUCAUUUCCCACUCUCCACUCCUCUCCACUCCUCUCCUUUGCCUCAUUUCUUUUCACUCCCUACUAUUUCCUCCACUCCCUCACACUCUCCUCCUCCACUUCCCCACGAAAAUGGUGCUCCCCUUGCUCCCAUGGCCGGCCAUGGCCAUGGAAAGCCACCAAGAUGAAGCUCCCUUCCUCCCUCAAGCUCAUCCUCACCAUGAGAGCCUCCCCUCCAUCUUCUCCCCAACCUUAGAUGGUUUAAUCUCCUCUUCUUCUCCCUCCAUUGCUAAGAUUGGAUCUUGAUGCAGGUGCAUGUUGGUCCAAGCAUGGAGAAGGUUGAGCUAUCCUCAGAUCUGAAGUUCUUGAGCAAAGUUCGUCCAAAACCUUGCAGUAAUUUCUGUUUCUUGCUGUUUCAGAUUCUGAUCAAAAUCUGGUCAGAUCUGACUUUGUCGAAUUAAACCAGGAGCUUGGAGACGAAUUUUUGAAUGAAACCAACUGGGGGUACUUAGCUUGUGCCAUGGUGAUACCGAGAGAGGCAAUUGCUAAGUUGUGAUACUCUCAUACCUUUACUAGAUGCGAACAAUUCCGGAGAAGAAGAACAAGUGGAAUCGGAUGAGAAGAUUUUAUUUAUAAUGUUGGGAUUGUUAUAUUGAUGGAGUUGAAGAAGUACAGGGACAAAUAAGCCCG